GGACUGGUAUCUCAGUGGUUAGAGCAUCACACUGGAGUGAUGGGGUUCUGGGUCCAAUCCCCAGCCAGUUCA
Molecule: transfer RNA, 72 nt
Organism: Piloderma croceum F 1598
Lineage: Eukaryota; Fungi; Basidiomycota; Agaricomycetes; Atheliales; Atheliaceae
Rfam family: tRNA
About the family: Transfer RNA (tRNA) molecules are approximately 80 nucleotides in length. Their secondary structure includes four short double-helical elements and three loops (D, anti-codon, and T loops).
Source: Rfam